Molecule: long non-coding RNA, 666 nt
Filed under: Ananas comosus (pineapple)
Lineage: Eukaryota; Viridiplantae; Streptophyta; Magnoliopsida; Poales; Bromeliaceae
Description: long non-coding RNA (ACOM_LNC042111)
Source: RNAcentral
UAAAAUGAAAAUAUUGUAAUCAUAAUCUUUUUAAAGUAAACUAUCUAAAAUUAAGAAAUAAUCUAAUAUGAUUUUAUUUUAGAAUAUAAACUUUCACUACAACAGAAUUAGGUUCUAGGGACACAUAUUUGGGACACUUUUGAGUAAGUGUCCCAUUUAUACUAAAACUUAAAAACAUAUCUACUAAUGCCUAAAUAUAAAGCCCAAUCCAACAAAAAAUAAAAGAUUACUCUACUCAACCCACCACAUCCAGUCCAUUUGGCCCGAUUACAAACAGAAAAGAAAAAAAAAAAGAAAAAUUGAUUACCAUCUUUUCUUCUCUCUUCACUCAAUCCACUGAAAUUCUAGAUGAAGAGCUUUUACUGUCGUCCUCCUCCGCCACCGCAGCCAACGAGAUAGAGUUUCGGCAGUUGCUAAAAGCUUAAAUAAGUAUUGGUAAAUUAGCAGCAUUCUUUUAGGUUAUAGCGACACUCUUUAACUGUCACUAUAUACCAAGCGACCCCACAUAUAGCAACACUUUUUAAAAGUGUCGGUAAUUUUAGCUAGCAGCACUUUUUUGACAUGUACCUACAUUUAAAAGUGUCGCUAUAGACCGUUUUUGUUGUAGUGUUUUGGUGUGAAAUCCGGCAAAUUUUUAUUUUCAGACCCAACCCGAAUUUUAAUUCA